GGCGCCGUAGCCAAGUGGUAAGGCAGAGGUCUGCAAAACCUUCACCGCCGGUUCGAAUCCGGCCGGCGCCUCCA
RNAcentral lists this transfer RNA (74 nucleotides) under Alicyclobacillus acidocaldarius subsp. acidocaldarius DSM 446. RNAcentral's name for it is "tRNA-Cys (GCA) (tRNA-Cys-GCA-1-1)". It matches the Rfam family "tRNA". From Rfam's summary of the family: Transfer RNA (tRNA) molecules are approximately 80 nucleotides in length. The record is from RNAcentral. RNAcentral also lists the same sequence under 1 other name. Lineage: Bacteria; Bacillati; Bacillota; Bacilli; Caryophanales; Alicyclobacillaceae.